GUGGGUGUAGCUCAGUUGGUUAGAGCGCCAGGUUGUGGCCCUGGAGGUCGUGGGUUCGAACCCCAUCACUCACCCCA
This 77-nucleotide transfer RNA is filed under the name Bacillota bacterium. Its description in RNAcentral is "tRNA-His". It matches the Rfam family "tRNA". From Rfam's summary of the family: Transfer RNA (tRNA) molecules are approximately 80 nucleotides in length. Their secondary structure includes four short double-helical elements and three loops (D, anti-codon, and T loops). The record is from RNAcentral. Lineage: Bacteria; Bacillati; Bacillota.